Molecule: unclassified non-coding RNA, 293 nt
Filed under: uncultured fungus
Lineage: Eukaryota; Fungi
Description: sequence contains ITS1
Source: RNAcentral
GGGGACUACACGGGUAUCUAAUCCUGUUCGAUACCCACGCCUUCGUGCUUCAGCGUCAGUUGGGCGCCGGUACGCUGCCUUCGCAAUCGGAGUUCUGCGUGAUAUCUAUGCAUUUCACCGCUACACCACGCAUUCCGCGUACUUCUCGCCCACUCAAGGCACCCAGUUUCAACGGCUCGACGAGGUUGAGCCCCGCAAUUUUACCGCUGACUUAAGCGUCCGCCUACGCACCCUUUAAACCCAAUAAAUCCGGAUAACGCUCGCAUCCUCCGUAUUACCGCGGCGGCUGACAC